GACGAACGCUGGUGGCGUGCUUAACACAUGCAAGUCGAACGGAAAGGCCCCCUUGUGGGGUACUCGAGUGGCGAACGGGUGAGUAACACGUGAGUAACCUACCCUUGACUUUGGGAUAACUUCAGGAAACUGGGGCUAAUACCGGAUAGGAGCUCCUGCUGCAUGGUGGGGGUUGGAAAGUUUCGGCGGUUGGGGAUGGACUCGCGGCUUAUCAGCUUGUUGGUGGGGUAGUGGCUCACCAAGGCUUUGACGGGUAGCCGGCCUGAGAGGGUGACCGGCCACAUUGGGACUGAGAUACGGCCCAGACUCUUACGGGAGGCAGCAGUGGGGAAUAUUGCACAAUGGGCGGAAGCCUGAUGCAGCAACGCCGCGUGCGGGAUGACGGCCUUCGGGUUGUAAACCGCUUUCGCCUGUGACGAAGCGUGAGUGACGGUAAUGGGUAAAGAAGCACCGGCUAACUACGUG
Molecule: ribosomal RNA, 465 nt
Filed under: uncultured bacterium
Lineage: Bacteria
Description: partial 16S ribosomal RNA
Rfam family: Bacterial small subunit ribosomal RNA
Source: RNAcentral